GUUUAACCAAAUAUUUUCCCAUUACUAUUAAUAAUUUAUCACACACACUUGAUGAUAUUUCUCUGACAAUUCAGAAGUCAGCCUUUUUAAAAUUAUGUUGUACUUUUCAGAAUUCAUACCUAGUAUGAUAUGAUACCCUAAAAUUAGAUUUUUUAUGUAUAAGCUGAUGGCACAAUUGAGUAGAUAUGCUUGUUUAUAGCAUUAUUCUGCUUGCUUUUAAUCUAACCAAGUUUAAAAUCUUGGUCCUCCCUUACAAAGCAGAUGUUUAUGUAUUAAAAGCACUAUUGAAUUCUAUUGUAAACCUUCAUUUAGCGUGAUUUCAACACUGCACAGAUACUAUAAAUGCUCUUAGCUCAACAUGACUGCAAUAAAUGCUAAAAAGGAGUCCAAAUUUAAUUUAUUCUAUUUUUGAAAUUCAAAUCAUCAUCAUACAUAUUAUGGUUUUAACAAGUUAGAUACAUAGGUAGAAUGUUAAUUACAAACGGAAAAUACUAUAUGCUCUUUGUAUCCUCAUUAAAAACAAUAUAGCUAUGAGCAUUUUUUUUUUCAAAUCAGGCAAAUUUGUUUAAUUAUGA
This 575-nucleotide long non-coding RNA is filed under the name Bos taurus (domestic cattle). RNAcentral's name for it is "long non-coding RNA NONBTAT001638". The record is from RNAcentral. Lineage: Eukaryota; Metazoa; Chordata; Mammalia; Artiodactyla; Bovidae.